CCUACGGGGGGCAGCAGUGGGGAAUAUUGGACAAUGGGGGGAACCCUGAUCCAGCCAUGCCGCGUGUGUGAAGAAGGCCCUCGGGUUGUAAAGCACUUUCAGUGAGGAAGAACGCCUGGUGGUUAAUACCCAUCAGGAAAGACAUCACUCACAGAAGAAGCACCGGCUAACUCCGUGCCAGCAGCCGCGGUAAUACGGAGGGUGCGAGCGUUAAUCGGAAUUACUGGGCGUAAAGCGCGCGUAGGUGGCUUGAUAAGCCGGUUGUGAAAGCCCCGGGCUCAACCUGGGAACGGCAUCCGGAACUGUCAAGCUAGAGUGCAGGAGAGGAAGGUAGAAUUCCCGGUGUAGCGGUGGAAUGCGUAGAGAUCUGGAGGAAUACCAGUGGCGAAGGCGGCCUUCUGGACUGACACUGACACUGAGGUGCGAAAGCGUGGGUAGCAAACAGGAUUAGAUACCCUUGUAGUC
RNAcentral lists this ribosomal RNA (465 nucleotides) under Vreelandella stevensii. RNAcentral's name for it is "partial 16S ribosomal RNA". It matches the Rfam family "Bacterial small subunit ribosomal RNA", at positions 338 to 795 of the family's 1533-position model. The record is from RNAcentral. Lineage: Bacteria; Pseudomonadati; Pseudomonadota; Gammaproteobacteria; Oceanospirillales; Halomonadaceae.